UACAGAGGUCUCAACCGUUGUUCGGAUUCAUUGGGCGUAAAGGGUGCGUAGGCGGUCGUGCAAGUCGGAUGUGAAAUCUCAGGGCUCAACCCUGAAACUGCAUUCGAUACUGCGUGGCUAGAGUGCUGGAGAGGAGACUGGAAUUUACGGUGUAGCAGUGAAAUGCGUAGAUAUCGAGAGGAACACCUGCGGCGAAGGCGGGUUGCUGGGCUGACACUGACGCUGAUGCGCGAAAGCCAGGGGAGCGAACGGG
RNAcentral lists this ribosomal RNA (253 nucleotides) under uncultured prokaryote. RNAcentral describes it as "partial 16S ribosomal RNA". It matches the Rfam family "Bacterial small subunit ribosomal RNA", at positions 524 to 776 of the family's 1533-position model. The record is from RNAcentral.